CAGUCAUAAUAGAAAUUAUGGUAAAACUAAUUACUUCACAAAUGUUUUCACGAUUAAAUAAAAGAUAAACAUUAUUUACAUUUUGAGAAAAAAGUCCUCAAAAAAUCUCCUUGCGGAAUCCUUAAAAAUCGAUCAUAAAGAUUUAGUAAAAAUCGAUAUUUAAAUGUGUCUCUUAAAUUACACCAUACUUUAAUUUUAUGCACGUUCGGUGACGUCACGUUUAUUAUAUUUUCGUUGAAAGAUCUGAAGUUACUUCAAAUACAGCAUUCCUAGUGCAAAGAGGAAGGGCUAAACAUAGUAUAAGAUGGUUAAUUGCAGAAGACAAUAUUUAGCGAGAGUCCAGCCUUUUAUAGUUUGGCGAACAUAAAUCAAUCCGUUGAUUGGAUGUGGCAAGAAUUUUCCAUAUUUCCAAGUUAGGAGAGGCUAAAUGGGUUCUGUUUGAAAAGAUCCAGCAUUUUUGAAAAGCAAUUAACAGAUGCGAAACAAUGUGUCUCUGUGAAAAGGGCAGGCUAAAGGUUUCAACAGCACCGGCCGAAAAAGUGGAGAUAUAAUUUCAGCAUUGAACAAGGACAGGGCAAUAUGUGUAUAUACAUAUGUGUAGCGUUGUCAGACUAUAUGGAUAGUCGGGCCUCGGUGACAAAAAUGAUGAAAUAACAUUGUUUUUUUUUCAGUGUCUUAACAUUCAGAAGAUUCAUUUCAUUUUAAAAUGUCUUUUUAUAAUAUUUUUUUUUACAAACUUUCCAUGGCAAAGUAAGUGCAAUUUAGCAUUGGUAAGAUAUUUACUUGAAGGAUUGAUUUUCAGAACAGAAAUUAAUGCGAAUACAAUGUAUAUAAAUAAUAAUUAUUCGUGUAAAAUGUAUUGCAAUUUUGAAUUAUAAUAUCAAUUAAGAUAGAUUCAUACAACUCUAUUCUUGGUAGAGCUAACUUGUAAGAAUAUUUAAUGGAAUCUGACUUAAAGUAAAAAAAAAUAGUUAUCAUUAGUGGGUGGGGUAAUGUUUUAUACCAGUCUAAAUGAUGAUGUAUAGAUUAUGCAGUGUUGCGACUUUUUGAAUGUAAUCAACAUUGGUUGAAGUGUUUUUGAUUAAAUAAAGCAUGUUUGUGUAUUAAUGUGUUACUUUGUUAAUGACCAUAUUUGCGUAGAAUAUCUGGGUUAUUUAAUUUCACAGAUUUUUCUAAUUGAAAACACAUGAUUUCAAAACAUGACAUUUUUAGCAUUUUAUACUUCGAAUUUUUUUGAGGACUUUUUUCCUGUAGCAACACAUAUAUAGUAGAUAACAAAUAUGCAAAUAUCUUUUCUGAAGGAAUUUGUUUGAGGUUGGGUCUUAUUUUUGGCUAAAAUGCCUAG
Molecule: long non-coding RNA, 1345 nt
Organism: Ruditapes philippinarum (Manila clam)
Lineage: Eukaryota; Metazoa; Mollusca; Bivalvia; Venerida; Veneridae
Exons: 3
Source: RefSeq, a predicted model, not a curated record